UGGGGAAUAUUGGACAAUGGGCGAAAGCCUGAUCCAGCCAUGCCGCGUGUGUGAAGAAGGCCUUUUGGUUGUAAAGCACUUUAAGUGGGGAGGAAAAGCUUAUGGUUAAUACCCAUAAGCCCUGACGUUACCCACAGAAUAAGCACCGGCUAACUCUGUGCCAGCAGCCGCGGUAAUACAGAGGGUGCAAGCGUUAAUCGGAAUUACUGGGCGUAAAGCGCGCGUAGGUGGUUAUUUAAGUCAGAUGUGAAAGCCCCGGGCUUAACCUGGGAACUGCAUCUGAUACUGGAUAACUAGAGUAGGUGGGAGGGGAGUAGAAUUCCAGGUGUAGCGGUGAAAUGCGUAGAGAUCUGGAGGAAUACCGAUGGCGAAGGCAGCUCCCUGGCAUCAUACUGACACUGAGGUGCGAAAGCGUGGGUAGCAAACAGGAUUAGAUACCCUGGUAGUCCACGCCGUAAACGAUGUCUACCAGUCGUUGGGUCUUUUAAAGACUUAGUGACGCAGUUAACGCAAUAAGUAGACCGCCUGGGGAGUACGGCCGCAAGGUUA
Molecule: ribosomal RNA, 549 nt
Filed under: uncultured bacterium
Lineage: Bacteria
Description: bacterial SSU rRNA
Rfam family: Bacterial small subunit ribosomal RNA
Source: RNAcentral